This 76-nucleotide transfer RNA is filed under the name Clostridiales bacterium. RNAcentral's name for it is "tRNA-Lys". It matches the Rfam family "tRNA". Rfam says of the family: Transfer RNA (tRNA) molecules are approximately 80 nucleotides in length. Their secondary structure includes four short double-helical elements and three loops (D, anti-codon, and T loops). Lineage: Bacteria; Bacillati; Bacillota; Clostridia; Eubacteriales. The record is from RNAcentral.
GAACCAUUAGCUCAGCAGGCAGAGCACCUGACUUUUAAUCAGGGUGUCCGGGGUUCGAAUCCCCGAUGGUUCACCA